Molecule: long non-coding RNA, 2447 nt
Organism: Jatropha curcas
Lineage: Eukaryota; Viridiplantae; Streptophyta; Magnoliopsida; Malpighiales; Euphorbiaceae
Source: RefSeq, a predicted model, not a curated record
UUGUGGAUAUCAUGACAGCAUGUCUUGCAUUCUUAAGUUCGGAUGGUGAAUUACUAGGUAAAAAUCAAAUAAAUAUUAUUUUAUUGCCAAAAAAAGGUAAUCCUCGAUUUGUUUCUGAUAUAAGACCGAUUUCACUAUGCAAUGAUGUUGAUAAGAUUGUUAGCAAAGCCUUGGCUAACAGAAUGAAGUUGUGUCUUGUUGAUAUUAUAUCUGAUAGCCAGAGCGUUUUUGUUUCGAGUUAGUCUAUAAUUGAUAAUAUCAUGAUUUGCUUUUGAGGUUAGGCACUUUUGGAAAAGGAAAAUGCAGGGUAAAGUUGGGGUGGUUGCACUUAAAACGGACAUGAGUAAAGCCUAUGACACGGUGGAAUGGGGUUUUCUUCGGCGAUGAAUGAUUAAGCCUGGCUUCUCAGUGGAUUGGGUGGAUAAAAUCAUGCGGCUGGUUACUACGGUUAAAUAUAAUACUUUGCAUGAUGGCUGUAAGUAUGGUCCAGUUAUUCUAGGAUGGGGUUUUACGACAAGGAGAUCCAAUUUCCCCAUAUUUAUUUAUCAUAUGCACCGAAGCUCUUUCUACGCUUUUGGAAAAAUUUCAGUCUGCAGGACAGCUCCAUGGUUGUCAAGUAGUGAGAUACUGACACCAGUUGUCAGGAGGAGAUUUGUGGUCUGUUGGGAGUCAAAUGUGGAGUGCAAGCUUCGAAUUAUCUGGGCCUCCCGUCAAUAGUAGGAAGAAAGAAGAAAGAUGUCUUUUCGUUCGUAAUAGACAAGGUAGUGAAGAAACUCAGUGGGUGGGGGAGAAAAGUUGCUUUCGCAGGCUGGAAAAGAAAUAUUACUAAAGUACGUCGCACAGGCGAUUUCGAAUUAUCUUAUGAAUGUAUUCUUGCUUCCAUUGGAAGUUGUUGAUACUAUAGAAAAAUCCAUGAACAGAUUUUGGUGGAGAAGUGAUGGGGAAAGCGGUUCAAGAAUCCACUGGUUUUCUUGGACAAAGUUAUGUCGGUUGAAGGAAGAUGGUGUCUUCUAUCUCAGUUGGAUGCUUUAGUCUCCAGAUUGUAUCGUGCUCGAUAUUAUGCUGUUGUUCCCUUACUUCAAGUGAAAAUGGGUUCUAACUCAAGUUUCAUAUGGCAUAGCAUUCAUGAAAGUCUUGAUUUAUUGCAGAACGGGUGUGUGCAUCGUAUCGGAAAUGGUCGGCAUACUCCUGUCUAUGGUUAUCCAUGGCUACAAAACAUAGUUAGUCCAUAUGUGACAUCUGAGAAUACAUGGGGUAUGGAGGAAAUUUAUGUGGCAGAUUUGAUGGUAAGGGGGAGGCGGACAUAGGAUGAGGAGGGUUUGGUUUCUCUUGUUACGAGUUUAAAAAAAGCAUUAAUAAAACAAAUGCCGUUGAGUACAAUGGACAAAAAUGAUGGAUGGAUGUGGUGAUGGGGUAGCAAAGGUUCGUAUACAGUUGGUAGUGGCUAUCAGAUUCUCUAUAAAGAAAGGCAGGUCCAGAGCUCCAUUGGUGGGAAUCUAUGGAGUGCGUUUGGAAAUGUGAUGUGCCAAGCAAAAUUAAAAAUUUUAUUUAGAAGCUGUUGUCGGUUGCCUGCCAGUUUUAGUAGCCUUGAAAUCACGGCAUAUAGUAGUGGAAACCAAAUGUCCAUCGUGUGGUGUUGAGGAGGAAAAUGCUUUGCAUUUUAUUUGGAAUUGGCAGGUGGCGCAACAAACAUGGUGUCAAUCCUCUGUUGGGUGGUGGACAGGGGUCCAAAAUGUGCAUGCAUGGAUAUCUACAGUGCUAACUAAUGUACCUAGGAAUGGCCUCAAUUCAGUCUUUACUAUAGCCUGGGAGUUAUGGUGGAACAGGAACCAACUGGUUUGGAAUAAUAAACCAACAGGUGCAAGUGUUAUCUUAAGAAGGGCUAUGAAUUGUGUGCAUGAAUGGCAGGUGGCCAAGCAAAAUAAUGUUGCUUUGGGUUUGUCAUGUGUUCAUAGGUAUCCUAAGUGGAUUGCCCCUGCUGAAGGUAAUGUGAAGCUAAAUAUUAAUGCAGCAUGGAGUGAGGAUAGCAGGAGAGCUAGGAUUGGUUAGCUAUUGCGUGACAGGAUGAGGGGUUAGUUGGGAGGUGGAAGCUGUGUGUUUGAGGGUGUUAUUUCAGCAGUUAUGGUUGAGUUGAUGGGCUUGAGGGAGGCAUUGAGCUGGCUUAAAAACCAAGGGUGUACAAGCCAUAUUGAAGUGGAAAGUGAUUGCCUCGUAGCUUUACAGGCUAUUAAGAAUUCAGUUUCUAUUAUUUCUUAUUUUGAUGCUUUAGUUCAUGAUUGUAGAACUCUAUUGGAUGAGUUCAAUUCAUUAUCACUUUUGUUUGCUAAGAAAUCAGCAAAUCAAUGCCCUCACAGCUUAGCGAGGGCAGCUAAUUAUUUGUCUGGUUUGUUGGAGUAGGGUCCUGUCCCUCUAGCUUUUAUUCAAGAUGUUUUGAUUUUUGAUGCCAA